This 352-nucleotide long non-coding RNA is filed under the name Ananas comosus (pineapple). Its description in RNAcentral is "long non-coding RNA (ACOM_LNC024954)". The record is from RNAcentral. Lineage: Eukaryota; Viridiplantae; Streptophyta; Magnoliopsida; Poales; Bromeliaceae.
CAGAGCAUACCUAUAAUAUAUUUGGAAUGAUGAUGCUACUAUACUAUCAAUAAUACUAAGCAUUGGAUGCUAUCGAAUUUUUAGCCGUUGGAUGAGGAACGUGCGGUUAGAAUUAUAGUGGUCUUCGGUUAGAAUAAUAGUGAUUCCCUAAAAUUGAGUGGAUGGUUUGUUGAAUAGUAUAUAGUCUAACAGAUAGAAAUAAAAAUAAUCAAUGAGUAGAUCUAAUGGCAAAAAAUUUGAUAGUACCAAGAGCUUAAUACUAUCGAUAGUAUAGUAGCCGAACUCAUAUAUUUGUUAUGAUUAAUAUCUUAAAAAUUAAAAUUUAUUUUAAUUAGGAAUUACUUCGUUCAAA